RNAcentral lists this long non-coding RNA (231 nucleotides) under Elaeis guineensis (African oil palm). RNAcentral's name for it is "long non-coding RNA (EGUI_LNC061875)". The record is from RNAcentral. Lineage: Eukaryota; Viridiplantae; Streptophyta; Magnoliopsida; Arecales; Arecaceae.
GGGCAUGUGGGCUGGUGGUUGGAUGCACUAGGGACCUUAGGAGAGGUUCCUUUAAAUAGGCAUAAGGAUAGAAUCCUAUUCAAUCUCAUAAUACAAGUCCUACUUGUAUUAGAUUUCCUAAUAACUUAAGUUAUUUAACUUACAUUAGGAAUCUUAUUAGGUGCCAACUCCUGGACCCCUUUCACCCAUUAUUUCACACCUUCUUUUGCACCCAAGGGACACCCCAUAUGA